UACGAGGGGUGCAAACGUUAUUCGGAAUCAUUGGGCGUAAAGGGUGCGUAGACGGCGAAAUAAGUCAGUCAUUAAAUUCUUCAGCUUAACUGAAGACCUGUGAUUGAAACUGCUUUGCUUGAGGAUGGAAGAGAGAAGCGGAAUUCUCGGAGUAGCGGUAAAAUGCGUAGAUCUCGAGAGGAACACCGAUGGCGAAGGCAGCUUCUUGGUCCAUAUCUGACGUUGAAGUACGAAAGCGUGGGGAGCAAACAGG
RNAcentral lists this ribosomal RNA (253 nucleotides) under uncultured bacterium. Its description in RNAcentral is "partial 16S ribosomal RNA". It matches the Rfam family "Bacterial small subunit ribosomal RNA", at positions 524 to 776 of the family's 1533-position model. The record is from RNAcentral.